UUUUAGCUUCAUUGCUCUCUUUUGGACAACUUCUGACCUUCCACUCACUCUGCAUUGUUGGUUCUUUUUGUAUGAGAAAUCCAUUUAUGUAUUGCAUACUUAAGACCUCCUAUACUUCAUUUCUACUAUUAACAAAGCUUUAACUCAAGGAACGGUUCAUCAGAACCAAAUUCUGAAGUGCUUGUGCAUUGAAUUGAUAAGGGCACCAAAUAAUUGUGGGUGCAUUAGCGAACAAAAAAGAUAAAACAAAUAAUGUCAAAAUCAUUAUACUUCAUGGAAUGUGGGGUUCAUUAUAAACCCAUUAAGAAAAAACUUUGCUUCAACGCCCAAGUAGAGAUUCAAGUGAGUGUAGAUUAUUUCAUUAAGCCCAACUGUUGAAA
This 380-nucleotide unclassified non-coding RNA is filed under the name Hevea brasiliensis (rubber tree). The record is from RNAcentral. Lineage: Eukaryota; Viridiplantae; Streptophyta; Magnoliopsida; Malpighiales; Euphorbiaceae.